Betta splendens (Siamese fighting fish) is the source of this 688-nucleotide long non-coding RNA. RefSeq lists it as uncharacterized. The record is from RefSeq and is a predicted model, not a curated record. The transcript has 3 exons. Lineage: Eukaryota; Metazoa; Chordata; Actinopteri; Anabantiformes; Osphronemidae.
CUGAGCUUCAUUAACGAGCUGAAUGCCGCUCACCUGCGUGCGUCCAGUUGUCUGCGGACGCCGGGCUCGAAGGAGAAGCUGGAAGCGACGACCGUGGAUCCAGUCCAGAUGUGGAGAACUGCAGCUUCUGGGCCGGUCCUGCAUCAGCUGCAGCCCGAGCGGAACCAAAGAACCUGGACUGUUUAACGGAGACGUCUAGACAGGUUUUGACCUUCACGCCUAAUGCGGCGCUCGGCCCCAGUUUUGGUCGGACUCGGCAGCAACAGGUGGGAGAGACGAUGAGGAUGAGGAUGAGUCCUGCUGUCAUAGAGACGGCGUGUGAUCACCGCUGCUUCUUAAAUCAGUUCAGUUCCUGCUGCUUUGUACUUCUCUGCGUUUCAGAGGGCAAAUACUGAGACUAAAAUGUUAAUCUCUCUGAGGAGCGACUUUUUGCAUAUGUAACAUCACCAGUACACUGUGACUAGUUCUGUUCCUUUCCUAAUAGUCAGAUUUUAAAAUUGAAACAUCUUUUAGUAAAAUCCGAGCGUCUCCACGUUUGUUUUUUCUGUCUAAUUAGGUAAAGUGUCUUUAAUGACUGUAUGAUAAAGCUCCAACUGCUACAGUGAACAAGCUCGCAGGGAUUUAUGACUCGAUAAAGUACCAAAAGAUGAGGAACGCGACCGGCUUAUUAACAAACGUGAAGUGAUCA